Molecule: unclassified non-coding RNA, 279 nt
Filed under: Hevea brasiliensis (rubber tree)
Lineage: Eukaryota; Viridiplantae; Streptophyta; Magnoliopsida; Malpighiales; Euphorbiaceae
Source: RNAcentral
GAAAUUAGUAAGUACAAAAUGGGGAAAGAAGUUCUUUUGGGUUUAUCCUCAUCUGAAACAGACACAGGAAAAGCAACACUAUCCUCAACACUCGAAUGAGAAGCCUCCCCUACUCGAGGCUAGGUUAAGUUCCCCCUAUUAGCAAGGGUAAAUUGAUCGGUCUAAUGACUGACUAACAUGGGAACCAAGCACUUCUUCUUCUUACAUGCCUUCUCUAACUCUUUGACAGUGGUAUAGUCAUUCUAAUUUAGAAUCGGUUUCCUUUGUGCUUAGUGGGAU